AAAAGUUUAUGUCUUUUUGAUGUGAUUCUGUUCAUAGCUUCGCUUCGCUUUCUCUUCUCUUCUUGGCUUAUAUAUAUAUACUCUUGAGGAAUUGUAUUCAAUCUUAAAGGUGUUCUUUUUUUACCUGUGAAUCUCUCUCUUUACCAUUACAGUCCAAGUUGUAUUUUUCUCAUAUGAAAUGAAAGUAAAACUCAGCGUAGCGUUAUGGUUUGUUUUAGUAUGUCAUGUCAUUACCUAAAUUCCCUUCUUGUUUAUGUUGGUUGUUACACCAAAAUAAUGUAUUGUGAAAUGUGUGUGGGUAGAUGCAAAACUAUUUGAGGAAGAAAGAACUGAAAGCUCAACGGGAGAAGGAUCUUCGUGAAGGGCUUCAGUUUUCCAAGUUAAAAAUGCUCAAGUUCUCUUGUGAGCUUGCACUUGGAAAGUGAAUCUUGACUUGUAAUCUCUAAUUGAUGUAGGAAUGGUAAGUAUGAGGAAGCACUGGAGAGGUUUGAGUCUGUGUUAGGCUCUAAACCAACACCAGAUGAAGCAUCAGUUGCAAGUUACAAUGUUGCUUGUUGCUACUCUAAACUUAAUCAGGUAACAAAUACUAUCUUUUUUAUCUUUCAGAUAUUAUUGCAUUUUGAGUUUUCAGAGUUCAUAAGAGUUCCUUUGAUAGGUUCAGGCUGGUCUCUCUGCUCUGGAAGAAGCAUUGAAGUCAGGAUAUGAAGAUUUCAAGGUAAUCUCGAUGGCUUGUCAUGUUUCCCUAAAAGAGAUGGUGUUGUUUGUUAAAGCUGAUGAGGGAUUUGUUUUGUUUGCAGAGAAUCCGAAGCGAUCCAGAUCUGGAAAACAUCAGGAAGUCAGAAGCUUUCGAUCCACUCAUGAAGCAAUUUGAUGAAUCUUUCAUCAACGAGAGUGCCAUUAACGCCAUCAAAUCCUUGUUUGGCUUUAACAAGAAAUAGUUCACCACCGAAAGACUUAAAAGUUUAUGUCUUUUUGAUGUGAUUCUGUUCAUAGCUUCGCUUCGCUUUCUCUUCUCUUCUUGGCUUAUAUAUAUAUACUCUUGAGGAAUUGUAUUCAAUCUUAAAGGUGUUCUUUUUUUACCUGUGAAUCUCUCUCUUUACCAUUACAGUCCAAGUUGUAUUUUUCUCAUAUGAAAUGAAAGUAAAACUCAGCGUAGCGUUAUGGUUUGUUUUAGUA
RNAcentral lists this long non-coding RNA (1176 nucleotides) under Brassica napus (rape). RNAcentral describes it as "long non-coding RNA (BNAP_LNC018495)". Lineage: Eukaryota; Viridiplantae; Streptophyta; Magnoliopsida; Brassicales; Brassicaceae. The record is from RNAcentral.